UCAUCACCACCGUCCUCCUUGGAAUCAGAGCGGCCGGCUUCCUCUGAUUUAACGUCAACCAAUAGAUCAUCUUCUUCAUCUCCAACUUCUAGUUCUUCGUUUUUGCUAUGUUCCUCAAACUGGCUUUGGAGAAACAAAUCAACCUGUUCCCUUAUAAACGCCUUCCUAUCUGCGCCUUCCUAUCUGAUAAAUCGACGCCGAAAUCUUCCUCCAGCUUCUGACGUAUGAUACCAGUAGUCGUCGUGUUGAGGUCCGAAUUUCGUAAAAACUCUCUUAGCCUCUUGAUUAGCUCGGAGUCGUACACCAUUUUCUCUAAUAAUCCUAUAUUUCGGGUCAGCUUGGGCUGAGCCGACAGAGUUAGUUGAGAGUAGGAGGGCAAUGUAGGCUCUUUGGUAAGGAAGGGUUGGGGUUGGGGGCUGGAAGGGGAAAAAUAUGAAAAUAUGAAAACGUUCGUUUACCGGUU
Molecule: unclassified non-coding RNA, 463 nt
Filed under: Hevea brasiliensis (rubber tree)
Lineage: Eukaryota; Viridiplantae; Streptophyta; Magnoliopsida; Malpighiales; Euphorbiaceae
Source: RNAcentral